RNAcentral lists this ribosomal RNA (493 nucleotides) under uncultured bacterium. RNAcentral's name for it is "bacterial SSU rRNA". It matches the Rfam family "Bacterial small subunit ribosomal RNA", at positions 20 to 507 of the family's 1533-position model. The record is from RNAcentral.
UGGCUCAGAUUGAACGCUGGCGGCAGGGCUUUAACACAUGCAAGUCGAGCGGGCGAGGUUGCUUCGGUAACUGAGCUAGCGGCGGACGGGUGAGUAAUGCUUAGGAAUCUGCCUAUUAGUGGGGGACAACAUUCCGAAAGGAAUGCUAAUACCGCAUACGCCCUACGGGGGAAAGCAGGGGAUCUUCGGACCUUGCGCUAAUAGAGUGAGCCUAAGUCAGAUUAGCUAGUUGGUGGGGUAAAGGCCUACCAAGGCGACGAUCUGUAGCGGGGUCUGAGACGGAUGAUCCGCCACACUGGGACUGAGACACGGACCAGACUCCUACGGGAGGCAGCAGUGAGGAAUAUUGGACAAUGGGCGCAAGCCUGAUCCAGCCAUGCCGCGUGCAGGAAGACGGUCCUAUGGAUUGUAAACUGCUUUUAUACAGGAAGAAACCACACCCUCGUGAGGGUACUUGACGGUACUGUAAGAAUAAGGAUCGGCUAACUCCGUG